ACCCAGGUGACGAGUCGCAAUUAAGACGGAACGUGCGUACUGGAU
Molecule: non-coding RNA, 45 nt
Filed under: Schistosoma margrebowiei
Lineage: Eukaryota; Metazoa; Platyhelminthes; Trematoda; Strigeidida; Schistosomatidae
Source: RNAcentral